Molecule: ribosomal RNA, 792 nt
Filed under: uncultured bacterium
Lineage: Bacteria
Description: bacterial SSU rRNA
Rfam family: Bacterial small subunit ribosomal RNA
Source: RNAcentral
AGAGUUUGAUCCUGGCUCAGGAUGAACGCUAGCGGCAGGCCUAAUACAUGCAAGUCGAGGGGCAGCAAGUGUAGCAAUACAUGUUGGCGACCGGCGCACGGGUGCGUAACACGUAUGUAAUCUACCCAUUACUGGGAGAUAGCCCGGAGAAAUCCGGAUUAAUAUCCCAUAGCACUAUAACAUGGCAUCAUGAAGUAGUUAAAGAUUUAUCGGUAAUGGAAGAGCAUGCGGCUGAUUAGCUAGUUGGUGAGGUAACUGCUCACCAAGGCAACGAUCAGUAGGGGACCUGAGAGGGUGAUCCCCCACACUGGUACUGAGAUACGGACCAGACUCCUACGGGAGGCAGCAGUAGGGAAUAUUGGGCAAUGGAGGCAACUCUGACCCAGCCAUGCCGCGUGCAGGAAGACGGCCUUCUGGGUUGUAAACUGCUUUUGAUCGGGAACAAAGAGCCCUUGCGAGGGAAGUUGAGUGUACCGAUAGAAUAAGCACCGGCUAACUCCGUGCCAGCAGCCGCGGUAAUACGGAGGGUGCAAGCGUUGUCCGGAUUUAUUGGGUUUAAAGGGUGCGUAGGCGGCUCUUUAAGUCAGUGGUGAAAUCCUACAGCUUAACUGUAGAACAGCCAUUGAUACUGAAGAGCUUGAGUACAGACGAGGUAGGCGGAAUUUAUGGUGUAGCGGUGAAAUGCAUAGAUACCAUAAAGAACUCCUAUUGCGAAGGCAGCUUACUAGGCUGUAACUGACGCUGAGGCACGAAAGCGUGGGGAUCAAACAGGAUUAGAUACCCCAGUAGUCC